RNAcentral lists this transfer RNA (72 nucleotides) under Bacillota bacterium. RNAcentral's name for it is "tRNA-Trp". It matches the Rfam family "tRNA". Rfam says of the family: Transfer RNA (tRNA) molecules are approximately 80 nucleotides in length. Their secondary structure includes four short double-helical elements and three loops (D, anti-codon, and T loops). The record is from RNAcentral. Lineage: Bacteria; Bacillati; Bacillota.
CGGGUUAUAGAGGAUUUUAUCAGCGGUCUCCAAAACCGCGUGCCCAAGGUUCGAGUCCUUGUACCCCUGCCA